UGAAGCGUUCAACUCCAGCUCCCAGGAAACUGACUCUGGGUCCGUGAUGAGGCGGAGAGCUGCCCACAGGCGGCAGUGAUGUCACGCAGGUGUGUGAGACCGUGUGACACAUGUUCGAGUCUCCUCAGUGUGUCUGGGGCCUGUAGGCUGGAGGCCUGUUGACAGGCUGAGUGUUGGCAGGACGAUGAGUGUCACACAUGCAGCAUCAGGAGAAAACAGAUAAAGAGGAAUCCAAGAGAGGAAUGAACAGGCUUUGGACUUUCAGAUGGAUAAAGAGA
This is a non-coding RNA of Paralichthys olivaceus (Japanese flounder), 278 nucleotides long. Lineage: Eukaryota; Metazoa; Chordata; Actinopteri; Pleuronectiformes; Paralichthyidae. The record is from RefSeq and is a predicted model, not a curated record.